RNAcentral lists this ribosomal RNA (1269 nucleotides) under Triticum aestivum (bread wheat). Its description in RNAcentral is "partial small subunit ribosomal RNA". The record is from RNAcentral. Lineage: Eukaryota; Viridiplantae; Streptophyta; Magnoliopsida; Poales; Poaceae.
AUGGAGAGUUUUCAUGACUACAAGAUGGUGAAUAAACGUUCUGUGGUUGAACAAGCUCAUGAGAUACAGUGCAUUGUGAAGGAACUUGAACUCCUUAAAUGUGUUCUACCCGACAAAUUCGUGGCUGGGUGCAUGAUUGCAAAGUUGCCUCCUUCAUGGAGGAAUUUCGCCACAACUCUGAAGCAUAAGAGACAGGAGAUAUCAAUUGAAAAUCUGAUUGCAUCUCUUGAUGUUGAAGAAAAAGCUCGGGCUAAAGAUACCAUUGAAAAAGGAGAUGUAUUUCAAUCAUCUUCGUGGUGGAUUGAUUCGGGUGCUAACGUUCAUGUGUGUGCUGACAUCUCCCUGUUUACUUCUUAUCAGGUCGCAAGGGAUUCUUCCGUCCUAAUGGGGAAUGGGUCACAUGCUUCUGUUCGUGGCAUUGGCACGGUGGAUCUGAAGUUUACUUCGGGAAAGAUCGUGCAACUAAGGAACGUGCAGCAUGUCCCUACUAUGAACAAGAAUCUAGUUAGCGGCUCCCUUCUUUGUCGAGAUGGUUUUAAGGUAGUUUUAGAGUCCAAUAAAGUAAUCGUGUCAAGAUUUGGACAAUUUAUAGGAAAAGGCUAUGAGUGCGGAGGCUUGUUCCGCUUUUCUCUUUCAGAUUUUUGCAAUAAGUCAAUAAACCAAAUUUGUGCUAGUGUUAAUGAUGAUGCAAGUAUUUGGCACUCUCGUUUAUGUCAUAUUAAUUUUGGUUUAAUAUCUCGGCUAUCCAGCAUGAGUUUAAUUCCGAACUUCACAGUUGCCAAAGGUUCUAAGUGCCAUAGUUGUGUGCAAUCUAAGCAACCUCGAAAGCCUCAUAAGGCUGCCGAGGAGAGAAACUUGGCACCUCUAGAACUCAUACAUUCUGAUCUUUGUGAGAUGAAUGGUGUGUUGACAAAAGGUGGAAAGAGAUAUUUCAUGACUUUGAUUGAUGAUGUGACUAGAUUUUGCUAUGUUUAUUUGUUGCAAACUAAAGAUGAAGCAUUAGACUACUUUAAAAUCUAUAAAGCUGAAGUUGAAAAUCAACUAGAGAGAAAGAUCAAGCGUCUUAGGUCCGAUCGUGGUGGAGAGUAUUUUCCAAAAGUUUUUGAUGAAUUUUGUGAGGAACAUGGUAUUAUUCAUGAGAGGACGCCUCCCUAUUCACCUCAAUCAAAUGGAGUGGCUGAGAGGAAAAACCGCACAUUGACUGACUUGGUGAAUGCCAUGUUAGACACUGCUGGUUUAUCUAAGGCAUGGUGGGGGAGGCUCUAUUGA